UGGGGAAUAUUGGACAAUGGGGGCAACCCUGAUCCAGCAAUGCCGCGUGUGUGAAGAAGGUUUUCGGAUUGUAAAGCACUUUCGACGGGGACGAUGAUGACGGUACCCGUAGAAGAAGCCCCGGCUAACUUCGUGCCAGCAGCCGCGGUAAUACGAAGGGGGCUAGCGUUGCUCGGAAUGACUGGGCGUAAAGGGCGUGUAGGCGGUUUGUACAGUCAGAUGUGAAAUCCCCGGGCUUAACCUGGGAGCUGCAUUUGAUACGUGCAGACUAGAGUGUGAGAGAGGGUUGUGGAAUUCCCAGUGUAGAGGUGAAAUUCGUAGAUAUUGGGAGAACACCGGUGG
Molecule: ribosomal RNA, 342 nt
Filed under: uncultured bacterium
Lineage: Bacteria
Description: partial 16S ribosomal RNA
Rfam family: Bacterial small subunit ribosomal RNA
Source: RNAcentral